Non-coding RNA from Arachis ipaensis, 423 nucleotides. The record is from RefSeq and is a predicted model, not a curated record. Lineage: Eukaryota; Viridiplantae; Streptophyta; Magnoliopsida; Fabales; Fabaceae.
CAACAUGCAUAUCAAAACAAAGAGGGUCACUAGAGUUGAGUUGAACAAGAGACUCAGGCACAAAGAACAACAGAAAAAAGAAGCAGAAGCUAAGAAGUUGGAGGACUUGUUGAAAGAAAUUGACAGCAUACCUGAAAUUAUGGAGGAAAUCAAGCAAGAAGAUGAGGAAAAGCAGAAGAACAUGCUAAGAUAGGUUAAAGGCACGGCCACCACGCUUAGGAAAGCACAAUGUUCAGUGAGCAUUACACACUCCUUUGCGCAAUUUAGAAACAAAGAUCAAUAUCAGUAUGAAAUAUCUCCUUAGCUCUCCACUUUUUGCAUUCAAUCUCAGCUGCCUAUCCGCUAGGGAAGACCAUUAUCAAAAUGACAAAAUACGCAUUUUACUUCUGGCAUUUUGUUUCGGAGAUAUCAUUGUCUUGAAUU